Molecule: ribosomal RNA, 253 nt
Filed under: uncultured bacterium
Lineage: Bacteria
Description: partial 16S ribosomal RNA
Rfam family: Bacterial small subunit ribosomal RNA
Source: RNAcentral
UACGGGGGGGGCAAGCGUUGUUCGGAAUUACUGGGCGUAAAGGGCUCGUAGGCGGCCAACUAAGUCGGAUGUGAAAUCCCCAGGCUUAACCUGGGAACUGCAUCCGAUACUGGAUGGCUUGAAUCCGGGAGAGGGAUGCAGAAUUCCAGGUGUAGCGGUGAAAUGCGUAGAUAUCUGGAGGAACACCGGUGGCGAAGGCGGUUCUCUGGGCAUGAUCUGACGCUGAGGAGCGAAAGUGUGGGGAGCGAACAGG